UUAGAUACCCGCGUAGUCCUAGCCGUAAACGAUACUCGCUAGGUGUCGGCCACGGUGCGACCGUUGUCGGUGCCGUAGGGAAGCCGUGAAGCGAGCCACCUGGGAAGUACGGCCGCAAGGCUGAAACUUAAAGGAAUUGGCGGGGGAGCACCACAACGGGUGGAGCUUGCGGUUUAAUUGGAUUCAACGCCGGAAAUCUUACCGGGACCGACAGCAAUAUGAAGGCCAGGCUGAAGACUUUGCCGGAUUAGCUGAGAGGUGGUGCAUGGCA
Molecule: ribosomal RNA, 271 nt
Filed under: uncultured archaeon
Lineage: Archaea
Description: partial 16S ribosomal RNA
Rfam family: Archaeal small subunit ribosomal RNA
Source: RNAcentral